GGUUUGAUCAUAGCUCAGAUUGAACGCUGGCGGGAUGUGCUUUACACAUACAAGUCAGGAACGGCAGCACGGACUUCGGUCUGGUGGCGAGUGGCGAACGGGUGAGUAAUGUAUCGGAACGUGCCUAGUAGCGAGGAUAACUACGCCAGAAAGCGUAGCUAAUACACCAUGCGCUGAGGAAAGCGGGGGGACCUUCGGGCCUCGCACUAUUAGAGCGGCCGAUAUCGGAUUAGCUAGUUGGUGGGGGUAACGGCUCGCAAAGGCGACUUGAUCGUAGCUGGUUUGAGAGGACGACCAGCCACACUGCGGGACUGGGACACGGCCCAGACUCUACGGGAGGGGCAGCAGUGGGGAAUUUUGGACAAUGGGGAAACCCUGAUCCAGCCAUCCCGCGUGUGCGAUGAAGGCGGGUUGUUUGUAAAGCACUUUUGGCAGGAAAGAAACGGCACGGGAUAAUACCCCGAUGCAGCUGACGGUACCUGCAGAAUAAGCACCGGCUAACUACGUGCCAGCAGCCGCGGUAGUACGUAGAGGUGCAAGCGUUAAUCGGAAUUACUGGGCGUAAAGCGUGCGCAGGCGGUUCGGAAAGAAAAGAUGUGAAAUCCCAGAGCUUAACUUUGGAACUGCGUUUUUUAACUUCUGGAGCUAGAAACAGUGUGUCAGAGGGAGGUGAAUUCCGCGUGUAGCAGUGAAAUGCGUAGAUAUGCGGAGGAGGGAACACCGAUGGCGAAGGCAGCCUCCUGGGAUGCUCUGGCGCUCAUGCAGCAUUGAGAACCGGUGAUUAGAUACCCUGGUAGUCCACGCCUAAACGAUGUCAACUAGCUGUCAGGAGGCCUUCGGGCCUUGGUGGCGCAAGCUAACGCGUGAAGUUGACCGCCUGGGGAGUACGGUCGCAAGAUUAAAACUCAAAGGAAUUGACGAGGACCCACUUUAAGCGGUGGAUGAUGUCGGAUUAAUUCGAUGCAACGCGAAAAACCUUACCUACCCUUGACAUGUCUGGAAUCCCGAAGAGAUUUGGUGCUCGCAGAACGGAACACAGGUGCUGCAUGGCUGUCGUAUCAGCUCGUGUCGUGAGAUGUUGGAUAAAGUCCGCAACGAGCGCAACCCUUGUCAUUAGUUGCUACGAAAGGGCACUCUAAUGAGACUGCCGGUGACAAACCGGAGGAAGGUGGGGAUGACGUCAAAGUCCUCGCGGCCUGCGAGUGAACUACAUCAUAAUGGUGGGACGGUGCCAACCCGCGAGGGGAGCCAAUCCCAGAAACCCGAUCGUAGUCCGGAUCAUGAUCCAACUCGGGCCACAGUGAAGUCAAAAUCGCUAAUCGCGGAUCAGCAUGUCGCGGUGAAUACGUUCGGGUCUUGUACACGCCCGUCACACCAUGGAGUGGUUUUACCAAGUAGUUAGUCUAACCGUAAGGAGGCGAUUACCACGGUAGGAUUCAUGACUGGGGUGAAGUCGUAACAAGGUAAAAAC
This 1471-nucleotide ribosomal RNA is filed under the name uncultured Bordetella sp. RNAcentral describes it as "partial 16S-23S ribosomal RNA intergenic spacer". It matches the Rfam family "Bacterial small subunit ribosomal RNA". Lineage: Bacteria; Pseudomonadati; Pseudomonadota; Betaproteobacteria; Burkholderiales; Alcaligenaceae. The record is from RNAcentral.